Molecule: ribosomal RNA, 406 nt
Filed under: uncultured bacterium
Lineage: Bacteria
Description: partial 16S ribosomal RNA
Rfam family: Bacterial small subunit ribosomal RNA
Source: RNAcentral
AUUGAACGCUGGCGGCAGGCCUAACACAUGCAAGUCGAGCGAGCGGCGGACGGGUGAGUAAUGUCUGGGAAACUGCCUGAUGGAGGGGGAUAACUACUGGAAACGGUAGCUAAUACCGCAUACCAUCAGAUGUGCCCCGAUGGGAUUAGCUAGUAGGUGGGGUAACGGCUCACCUAGGGGACGAGCCCUAGCUGGUCUGAGAGGAUGACCAGCCACACGGUAACUGAGUCACGGUCCAGGCUCCUACGGUAGGCAGCAGUGGGGAAGAUGGAACAAUGGGCGAAAGCCUGAUGCAGCCAUGCCGGGUGGGGGAAGAGGUCAUUCGGGUUGUAAAGCACUUUCGGCGGGGAGACGUUACCCGCAGAAGAAGCACCGGCUAACUCCGUGCCAGCAGCCGCGGUAAUUC